Molecule: ribosomal RNA, 253 nt
Filed under: uncultured prokaryote
Description: partial 16S ribosomal RNA
Rfam family: Bacterial small subunit ribosomal RNA
Source: RNAcentral
UACGUAGGGUGCAAGCGUUAAUCGGAAUUACUGGGCGUAAAGCGUGCGCAGGCGGUGAUGUAAGACAGUUGUGAAAUCCCCGGGCUCAACCUGGGAACUGCAUCUGUGACUGCAUCGCUGGAGUACGGUAGAGGGGGAUGGAAUUCCGCGUGUAGCAGUGAAAUGCGUAGAUAUCAGGAGGAACACCUGCGGUGUAGACAGCUUUCUGGACCACUUCUGACGCUGAGACACGAAAGCGUGGGUAGCAAACAGG